Molecule: unclassified non-coding RNA, 659 nt
Filed under: Hevea brasiliensis (rubber tree)
Lineage: Eukaryota; Viridiplantae; Streptophyta; Magnoliopsida; Malpighiales; Euphorbiaceae
Source: RNAcentral
GGCCCUGGGAUUUGCUGUGCAUUCUGUAAAAAACCAAGCAUGGAAACAGACUGAACUGUUUUUCCAAGACCCAUCUCAUCAGCUAAAAUGACAUUUGUAUCAUUUCUCCAGCUAUUAACAAGAAAAUUCAAACCCUCUAGCUGAUAAUCACGAAGCUUUCCUCCUCUCAACCAUUCUGGCUGUUCAUCAAGCUUCCUUAAACUUGCUUUGCCUUUCUUGCGCUGGAGAUCCACCAUUUUCCCUUGUACAGCCAUUGCAGCCUCACGUGCCUUGUAUUCAUCAAUUGCAUCUUGAGCAAAUUCUAUAUCUAUAUCCUUCUCCCAGGUUGCUUCGGCAUAAGAUAGUCCUUGCCACUUGACUAAGUACUCUGGUACAAUAUUCCCAGAGCUAUCAUUACUGAUUCGAUCAGAAAUAAUUCUCUCCACCUGACUAUUUUGCUUGAUUAGAUCCAAAUCCAUUUCCUUACUCACAUCAUUGACCUCAAUCUCCUCACGUGUAAGCAUUCUCCGAUACUUCACAUCUUCAUUAACUUUCUUGGUGUAGUUCAAUACCUUCUUAAAACCACUCAGAUUUUGUAAUUCUGCAAAAGAUUUCCACUGGCAGUGCAAAUGUGACUGGCCUUUCCAUUUGAUUAAAAACUCCAUUUCAUUCCAAUCUGG